AUGUGAGCAAAGGUCACAACUUUUAACAGCAAAGGCGAAACAAUCUCCAAGUUUCUUUUUUUCCAUGGCCUAUCAUGGAAAUGCUAAGAUAAAAAGACAAAAUUUAACCAGAGCUGGGAAAGCAAGAUAACUCUACAGCUGAAAGACUAGACUUCCCCUGCUCACUCAGGGGCCAGCUCAGUUCCACAGCCUGCUGGACAUGGAGAGGUCUCCAGGGAACCCGGACUUCAGCCCCAUGGAAGCUGUCCCUGCACAGAUGAGUGCAGGCAUCCAGAAGUGUGUUCCCUGCCAGGGCGUGUGACCAUGGGCUCCACAGGUUCAGAGAGAAAAACAAACAGCUGGCUCACCACGACAAAUAUCCCACUGUCACCAGCCUCAUCUUCACCAUGGACUUGAUGAAGCCAUGUUAACUUUGAAACACCGUGUCUCCCCUUGCUGUCCCUCCUCACACCCACCCACUUUCCUGUCACAGAAUAAAUAAAAGGUAUUCAGUGUCUGGGAACUCGCACACACAUCAGCUGGAGGAUCCUUGCCCCUGGCAGUCUGAAUCUGCAGCCUGUAACCCCCAAGUCACCACACAGCACUUCCCACCAGCACCCUUCUGGGAC
This 608-nucleotide long non-coding RNA is filed under the name Cricetulus griseus (Chinese hamster). RNAcentral's name for it is "lncRNA (ENSCGRG00015040479.1)". Lineage: Eukaryota; Metazoa; Chordata; Mammalia; Rodentia; Cricetidae. The record is from RNAcentral.